This is a long non-coding RNA of Triticum dicoccoides, 1579 nucleotides long. RefSeq lists it as uncharacterized. The record is from RefSeq and is a predicted model, not a curated record. Lineage: Eukaryota; Viridiplantae; Streptophyta; Magnoliopsida; Poales; Poaceae. The transcript is spliced from 4 exons.
GAUCCCCUCUCAUCGCCCAAACCCUAACUCCUAUCCCCUUCCUCCCCUUGUCUCCCUCUCCACGAUCCAGAUCGAGAACGCCGGCUCCCUUUCUCCCUCGCCAGCAGGUCCCUCCACCGCCGCCCCUCCAACCCCAGCCCCGGCCAUCCUCUCUUCCGCCACCCUCUCAUGUCCCAGUCGCUCGCCUCUGUCCUCAUGCAGCCGAUCGAGCGUGCCGCCCAACCUCACCAGCGACAUAGGCCCUGACGCCCAGCACCCACGGCGUCGCGGCUGGCCGGCUCGUCGGCGUGCGCAUGCUUCAAUGCGCGCUGCUCAAUCGAGUUGGCCGGACCGCAGCGGCGAGUGAUCUAGGGUUUUGGUCACUUUGCCCCACGCCGGCCACGACUCUCUGGCAACCAGGACGGCGACGACAUCGAUGGGAUCCUCGAGCGGCUGUCGUCCACUUCACGUUGGAGGGAGGGGUCGGUCCUCUCCUCGGACAAGGGGAUGGCCGUGUUCGUCGUUCCCCACCCUGGCAGUCGAUCCCGGCCGCCGCUGCUUCACUCGCCCUCCUCCGCCGGCAUCUCCGCGAGGGCGCCCGAUGCCAGGUAGGCCAUGGACGCGCCGGACCUCAAGGUCGGCGCCCUGGCUGCUCCUGCUCCGGCUGAGCACACCCAGAACUGUAUUUAUAUAAGAAUAUUUUUGUGAGAUAUAUGUGUUAUUUCAACGCUCUUUUGUGUGGUUUAGGCAUUAUGUAAUUAACUUGUCAAAGAUUAGUAAUUGGGUAUGUCUAUGCCAUAUGCUCCCUGUUGUUGGGACAUUAUGAUAUGCCAUUUUUAUUGUCAUGUUAGCCUGGUCAACCUUAUCAUCUGAACUGUCGUACUAGAUGGUUUCUAGGUGUAUAGAUGCACCCAAUAGCUAGUAUAUAAUGUUUAAUAUUUUUCGUGACUUUGCCAUGGAAAGUUAGCGUCGGAAUUUUUUGGUUUAGUACAAUGCACAAAUGUUCACAUUGCCUCAAGGGUGCAUAUUUUACUGUAUCAGAACAACUGUAUGCUUCACUCAUUGAUGCUACUACAGAUAAUAUAUUUGAGUAUGCGAAUGUCGGAGGGGUCGUGCCUGAGGAGACCGAGCUCGCCAUGCUGCUCCUUUUCAUUGCCAACAAGGGAAGGGCCGACGAGGAGAACAGGGUCCUUGCACCAACAGGUAACUGGCGCAGCCGUUGUAACUUGAGACGCUGGUCUGGAGGAAGGAUCAUGAGGAGAACAACUACACAAUGUUGUGGAUGAACAGGAUGAUGGGAGGGUGAAUCAAAUCCAGGAGCACAUCAACUAUGAGGUUUGCCGACACGACAAGUACCAUAUGUGUGUCUACUCGUCCAACCUGGAUGGAACGCUUCUUUGGAAUUCUUAAAGAGGAAGACAAUGGAGCUAUGAUGUUGUUGUGCAACAGGCUAUGUUUUUUGUAAUACCAUUUGUCUGGGCUAUGUAAUCUUAGUUUGUCUGUGCUAGGAUACUCAAAAAGCUAUUUGUGUAAUCUUAUUUUGUGUGUGCUGCGAUAUUCAAAAAGCUAUCUAUCUAAUUUAAAUAUGUGAUGUAUUCUU